ACUCUCCCAGGUUCACACCUGGAGAGUUUCCAGAACUCUACCAGUCUCGACUACAGGAGGAAGAGUCAAGCAGAGGCCUGUCCAUUCCAUUCCUAGCUUGGCCAGUGGCUAACAAGUGGAAGGCCAUCUGCUUCAAGU
This 138-nucleotide small nucleolar RNA is filed under the name Ornithorhynchus anatinus (platypus). The record is from RNAcentral. Lineage: Eukaryota; Metazoa; Chordata; Mammalia; Monotremata; Ornithorhynchidae.